AUGUUUUCGCGCUAAGCGGUGCGCACGUGGCUCUUUCAAGUGUAUUUGCUAGUUGGGUUUUAGCUAUAUGCUAAGCUCUGCAGCAGGUCGUCUUGGCGGGGGUGUCGUGCGUCGUACGUGAUGCGCAUGAGUGGUGUUUGAGCUGUUUGGGAUUGCGGGCUCCAUGCUUUUAGCAUCGAACCGUCGUCUUGCAGCUCUCUUCAUUGUUACCUCGCACAUGCUGAGGGGUGAUGAUCGGGUUCCUGUGUUGAAUACCCAUUGAGGGGAAUUCUGAAGUGUGCCGUUAUUUUCCGCCUUGUGCUCGCUUCGGGUGCAGGUGGACAAUGCAGCGUCCCUCGUGUCCCAAAGCUCUCGCAAAUAAAUAGUUGGAGCUAUGGCCCUCGAGCGUCGCUUGUGCUCUCGGUUGCGGAAUGCAAUGUGGCCAAACGUGAUCUCGCACCGCGUUGCAUUGGCCCGACCCUAUGAAUCCUUUUCGAACGACUGCACCAACCUCGAAUUGGCUCGCCCCUACCAUUGCUUUGCUUGGUUGGUGGGCUGU
RNAcentral lists this unclassified non-coding RNA (538 nucleotides) under Sclerolinon digynum. Its description in RNAcentral is "partial external transcribed spacer". Lineage: Eukaryota; Viridiplantae; Streptophyta; Magnoliopsida; Malpighiales; Linaceae. The record is from RNAcentral.